RNAcentral lists this ribosomal RNA (454 nucleotides) under uncultured bacterium. RNAcentral describes it as "partial 16S ribosomal RNA". It matches the Rfam family "Bacterial small subunit ribosomal RNA", at positions 28 to 507 of the family's 1533-position model. The record is from RNAcentral.
GAUGAACGCUGACAGAAUGCUUAACACAUGCAAGUCAACUUGAACUUCGGUUUGGGCGGCGGACGGGUGAGUAACGCGUAAAGAACUUGCCUCACAGCUAGGGACAACAUUUGGAAACGAAUGCUAAUACCUGAUAUUAUGAUUUUAGGGCAUCCUAGAAUUAUGAAAGCUAUAUGCGCUGUGAGAGAGCUUUGCGUCCCAUUAGCUAGUUGGAGAGGUAACGGCUCACCAAGGCGAUGAUGGGUAGCCGGCCUGAGAGGGUGAACGGCCACAAGGGGACUGAGACACGGCCCUUACUCCUACGGGAGGCAGCAGUGGGGAAUAUUGGACAAUGGACCAAGAGUCUGAUCCAGCAAUUCUGUGUGCACGAUGAAGUUUUUCGGAAUGUAAAGUGCUUUCAGUUGGGAAGAAAAAAAUGACGGUACCAACAGAAGAAGUGACGGCUAAAUACGUG